GAUGAAGAACGCAGCGAAAUGCGAUAAGUAAUGUGAAUCGCAGAAUUCAGUGAAUCAUCGAAUCUUUGAACGCACAUUGCGCCCGCCAGUAUUCUGGCGGGCAUGCCUGUCCGAGCGUCAUUUCAACCCUCGCGCCCAUCUGGGCUGCGGUGUUGGGGACCGGCCUGCCCCCCGGGGCGCGCCGCCCCCCAAAUUCAGUGGCGGUCUCGCUGCAGCCUCCCUUGCGUAGUAGCACACCUCGCACCGGAGCGCAGCGCGGCCACGCCGUAAAACCCCCGACCCCCAUGAGUUUGACCUCGGAUCAGGUAGGAAUACCCGCUGAACUUAAGCAUAUCAAUAAGCGGAGGA
Molecule: unclassified non-coding RNA, 348 nt
Filed under: soil metagenome
Description: partial contains 5.8S ribosomal RNA, internal transcribed spacer 2, and large subunit ribosomal RNA
Rfam family: 5.8S ribosomal RNA (bases 1-120)
Source: RNAcentral